UGUCACAUGUAAUGCUUAACGUAUCUCC
This 28-nucleotide non-coding RNA is filed under the name Mus musculus (house mouse). Lineage: Eukaryota; Metazoa; Chordata; Mammalia; Rodentia; Muridae. The record is from RNAcentral.